CGGGUAGAGUAAUGCGUGACCAACCUGCCCCAUGCUCCAGAAUAGCUCUUGGAAACGGGUGGUAAUGCUGGAUGCUCCAACUUGACGCAUGCUUGUUGGGAAAGUGUUUAGUGGCAUGGGAUGGGGUCGCGUCCUAUCAGCUUGUAGGCGGGGUAAUGGCCCACCUAGGCUUCGACGGGUAGCCGGCCUGAGAGGGCGGACGGCCACAUUGGGACUGAGAUACGGCCCAGACUCCUACGGGAGGCAGCAGCU
Molecule: ribosomal RNA, 252 nt
Filed under: uncultured Gardnerella sp.
Lineage: Bacteria; Bacillati; Actinomycetota; Actinomycetes; Bifidobacteriales; Bifidobacteriaceae
Description: partial 16S ribosomal RNA
Rfam family: Bacterial small subunit ribosomal RNA
Source: RNAcentral